GGAGUUAGCCGGUGCUUCUUCUGUGAGUGAUGUCCUUCCUGCCGGCUAUUAACCCGCAGGCCUUCUUCCUCACUGAAAGUGCUUUACAACCCGAAGGCCUUCUUCACACACGCGGCAUGGCUGGAUCAGGGUUGCCCCCAUUGUCCAAUAUUCCCCACUGCUGCCUCCCGUAGGAGUCUGGGCCGUGUCUCAGUCCCAGUGUGGCUGAUCAUCCUCUCAGACCAGCUACGGAUCGUCGCCUUGGUGAGCCGUUACCUCACCAACCAGCUAAUCCGACAUAGGCUCAUCCGAUAGCGCGAGGCCCGAAGGUCCCCCGNUUUCCCCCGUAGGGCGUAUGCGGUAUUAGCCUGGGUUUCCCCAGGUUAUCCCCCACUACCGGGCAGAUUCCUAUGCAUUACUCACCCGUCCGCCGCUCGCCACCAGGGAGCAAGCUCCCCGUGCUGCCGCUCGACUUGCAUGUGUUAGGCCUGCCGCCAGCGUUCAAUCUGAGCAGANCAACUACUGA
This 505-nucleotide ribosomal RNA is filed under the name uncultured bacterium. RNAcentral describes it as "partial 16S ribosomal RNA". The record is from RNAcentral.